UACGUAGGGUGCGAGCGUUAAUCGGAAUUACUGGGCGUAAAGCGUGCGCGGGCGGUUCGUCGUGUCUCGUGUGAAAGCCCCGGGCUCAACCUGGGAAUGGCAUGGGAAACUGGCGAACUGGAGUGUGGCAGAGGGGGGUGGAAUUCCGCGUGUAGCAGUGAAAUGCGUAGAGAUGCGGAGGAACACCGAUGGCGAAGGCAGCCCCCUGGGCUGACACUGACGCUCAGGCACGAAAGCGUGGGGAGCAAACAGG
Molecule: ribosomal RNA, 253 nt
Filed under: uncultured bacterium
Lineage: Bacteria
Description: partial 16S ribosomal RNA
Rfam family: Bacterial small subunit ribosomal RNA
Source: RNAcentral